GUUUAUUUAAUGUGUAACUUUGAUUUUUUGUUUUUUUUGGUUUACUAUAAUUUAUUAUUUUUUCAUUUAUAUUUUGAUUUAUAUUAUUAUUGUAAAUAAUAUUUAUUUCUAUUUAGUUAACCACGGAGAUGAAACUGAAGUUAACCACGGAGAUGAAACUGAAGUUGACAAUGAUGGGGAAGAUGAAAUUUAUCAUAAGCGACCUGAUAAAGACAAAGCACUAAAGAAAUACAGAAAAUUGAAACUUAGACUAG
Hydra vulgaris (swiftwater hydra) is the source of this 254-nucleotide long non-coding RNA. RefSeq lists it as uncharacterized. Lineage: Eukaryota; Metazoa; Cnidaria; Hydrozoa; Anthoathecata; Hydridae. The record is from RefSeq and is a predicted model, not a curated record.